CAUCGCCUCCUGCCCGCUCAGCAUAGGAGGUCCCGCCUGCCCUGUGACCAAAAGUUUAACGGCCGCGGUAUUUUAACCGUGCAAAGGUAGCGCAAUCAAUUGUCUUUUAAAUGAAGACCUGUAUGAAUGGCAUAACGAGGGUUUAACUGUCUCUUUUUUCAGGUCAAUGAAACUGAUCUGUCCGUGCAGAAGCGGACAUAUUAACACAAGACGAGAAGACCCUAUGGAGCUUUAGACGCCCACCAACCGCGAAAAGCAGCCUACCUUAACAGAUGCUCUAAACAACGCGGUCCUGGUACAAACGUCUUCGGUUGGGGCGACCGCGGAGGAGAACAAAGCCUCCGAGAGGAAUGGGAACAAACCCUAAAACCAAGAGCCACAGCUCUAAGUCACAAAAAAUUUGACCGACAAUGAUCCGGCUUACUGCCGAUCAACGGACCAAGUUACCCUAGGGAUAACAGCGCAAUCCCCUCCCAGAGUCCAUAUCGACGAGGGGGUUUACGACCUCGAUGUUGGAUCAGGACAUCCUAAUGGUGCAGCCGCUAUUAAGGGUUCGUUUGUUCAACGAUUAAAGUCCUACGUG
Molecule: ribosomal RNA, 583 nt
Filed under: Sardinella aurita (round sardinella)
Lineage: Eukaryota; Metazoa; Chordata; Actinopteri; Clupeiformes; Clupeidae
Description: partial 16S ribosomal RNA
Rfam family: Bacterial large subunit ribosomal RNA
Source: RNAcentral